GACGAACGCUGGCGGCGUGCUUAACACAUGCAAGUCGAACGGAAAGGCCCUGCUUUUGUGGGGUGCUCGAGUGGCGAACGGGUGAGUAACACGUGAGUAACCUGCCCUUGACUUUGGGAUAACUUCAGAAAACUGGGGCUAAUACCGGAUAGGAGCUCCUGCUGCAUGGUGGGGGUUGGAAAGUUUCGGCGGUUGGGGAUGGACUCGCGGCUUAUCAGCUUGUUGGUGGGGUAGUGGCUUACCAAGGCUUUGACGGGUAGCCGGCCUGAGAGGGUGACCGGCCACAUUGGGACUGAGAUACGGCCCAGACUCCUACGGGAGGCAGCAGUGGGGAAUAUUGCACAAUGGGCGGAAGCCUGAUGCAGCAACGCCGCGUGCGGGAUGACGGCCUUCGGGUUGUAAACCGCUUUAGCCUGUGACGAAGCGUGAGUGACGGUAAUGGGUAAAGAAGCACCGGCUAACUACGUG
RNAcentral lists this ribosomal RNA (468 nucleotides) under uncultured bacterium. RNAcentral's name for it is "partial 16S ribosomal RNA". It matches the Rfam family "Bacterial small subunit ribosomal RNA", at positions 28 to 507 of the family's 1533-position model. The record is from RNAcentral.